CUCGCUUCCGCUCCCGCUCGCGGUGACGGACGGAGUUAUGAGGAACAGCGUCAUCGGCUGAGGCAUAACCGGCGGUGAGAACUUCCUUUUUGAUGUUGUUGGUGUUGUUAUUGUUGUUACCGUCUUGCGGAUGCUCGUACUGUGAGAGGUUGUUCAUGCUGACGCUCUUCCUCAUGGAAUCGACGACGACUCGAACCCCGAACAGCAUGAUCUCGCCAGAGGCAACGGAGUCUGUAGCGGCGCAGG
Molecule: long non-coding RNA, 246 nt
Filed under: Phaseolus vulgaris (common bean)
Lineage: Eukaryota; Viridiplantae; Streptophyta; Magnoliopsida; Fabales; Fabaceae
Description: long non-coding RNA (PVUL_LNC004151)
Source: RNAcentral